RNAcentral lists this small RNA (98 nucleotides) under Paraburkholderia susongensis. RNAcentral's name for it is "Pseudomonas sRNA P9". It matches the Rfam family "Pseudomonas sRNA P9". From Rfam's summary of the family: P9 appears to be conserved in several Pseudomonas species in addition to Bordetella spp. In both Pseudomonas and Bordetella spp P9 appears to be located upstream of a predicted threonine dehydratase gene. P9 has a predicted Rho independent terminator at the 3' end but the function of P9 is unknown. Lineage: Bacteria; Pseudomonadati; Pseudomonadota; Betaproteobacteria; Burkholderiales; Burkholderiaceae. The record is from RNAcentral.
CUGAUUAUUAGCAUCAUUCAUCGAAUGGUGGGUUAGCGCACGUCGGAUCGCAGAGACAAACGCAGUAUCAAACUAACCCGCCACACGAGGCGGGUUUU